This 501-nucleotide ribosomal RNA is filed under the name uncultured bacterium. Its description in RNAcentral is "partial 16S ribosomal RNA". It matches the Rfam family "Bacterial small subunit ribosomal RNA", at positions 30 to 523 of the family's 1533-position model. The record is from RNAcentral.
AUUGAACGCUGGCGGCAGGCUUAACACAUGCAAGUCGAGCGGAGAUGAGGUGCUUGCACCUUAUCUUAGCGGCGGACGGGUGAGUAAUGCUUAGGAAUCUGCCUAUUAGUGGGGGACAACAUUCCGAAAGGAAUGCUAAUACCGCAUACGUCCUACGGGAGAAAGCAGGGGAUCUUCGGACCUUGCGCUAGUAGAUGAGCCUAAGUCGGAUUAGCUAGUUGGUGGGGUAAAGGCCUACCAAGGCGACGAUCUGUAGCGGGUCUGAGAGGAUGAUCCGCCACACUGGGACUGAGACACGGCCCAGACUCCUACGGGAGGCAGCAGUGGGGAAUAUUGGACAAUGGGGGAAACCCUGAUCCAGCCAUGCCGCGUGUGUGAAGAAGGCCUUAUGGUUGUAAAGCACUUUAAGCGAGGAGGAGGCUACUGAGACUAAUACUCUUGGAUAGUGGUCGUUACUCGCAGAAUAAGCACCGGCUAACUCUGUGCCAGCAGCCGCCGUAA